RNAcentral lists this long non-coding RNA (724 nucleotides) under Homo sapiens (human). RNAcentral's name for it is "DPYD antisense RNA 1". The record is from RNAcentral. Lineage: Eukaryota; Metazoa; Chordata; Mammalia; Primates; Hominidae.
CGCUCAGAAUUUAGAACAGCACCUGGCAUAUGGGUCUCACUCUUUUGCCCAGGCUGGAGUGCAUGGGCGCAAUCUUGGCUCACUGCAGCAUCGACCUCCCAGACUGAAUCGCUCCUCCCACCUCAGCCUCAGGAGUAGCUGGGACUACAGGCGCAUGUCACCAUGCCAGGCUAAGUUUUGUGUUUUUGGUAGAGACAGGGUUUCACCAUGUUGCUCAGGCUAGUCUCAAACUCCUGGGCUCAAGCAAUCUGCCCGCCGCAGCUUCCCGAAGUGCUGGGAUUCCAUGUGUGAGCCAUCGCUCUCAGCCUGAUAAUUUUCUUAAAAUUGCCAGUGCUACUGUAAGAGACAUAGUUAAGUUUAUAUUAAAAGGAAAACCAAGGUAUUGCUUAGUUGUCAUAAAGUUGUGUGAAGAUUAAGUGAAAUAUGUUAGUGGUUUUCUCACAGAGUAUACACACAGAGAGUUACACUUUACACAGAAAUCUAUAUAUCCCACAAGUAAACUGAUUUUAAGGGAAUCAUUUUCUAGUUUCCCAAUUUCCAUAUGUAUGAUGUCUUAAAUUUUGUAUGCCUGAGAAACAAUGCAAUCAAGGCAUCCCGCUGGUUCUUCUGUCUCAACUCCUCUGUUUCAACAGUCUUUCCCUUACUUUCGAAAAAAAGCAUAUUUUUCAUUGAUCUCAAAUAUUACAAUAACAUAUACAUAGAAUAUAAAAAUUUGGGGAUACCA